UAUCUACUCCCUCCGUCCGAAAAUACUUGUCGCACAAAUGGAUAAAAAUGGAUGCAUCUAAAACUGAAAUAUGACUAGAUACAUCCAUUCCUCCGACAAGUAUUUCUGGACGGAGGGAGUAUAUU
This is a non-coding RNA of Triticum aestivum (bread wheat), 125 nucleotides long. NCBI's taxonomy places the organism in Eukaryota, Viridiplantae, Streptophyta, Magnoliopsida, Poales, Poaceae. The record is from Rfam.